CAGUAGCCACGGUAAUACGAAGGGGGCUAGCGUUGUUCGGAUUUACUGGGCGUAAAGGGAGCGUAGGCGGAUUGUUAAGUCAGGGGUGAAAUCCCAAGGCUCAACCUUGGAACUGCCUUUGAUACUGGCGAUCUUGAGUCCGGGAGAGGUGAGUGGAACUGCGAGUGUAGAGGUGAAAUUCGUAGAUAUUCGCAAGAACACCAGUGGCGAAGGCGGCUCACUGGCCCGGAACUGACGCUGAGGCUCGACAGCGUGGGGAGCAAACAGGAUUAGAUACCCCUGUAGUCCCUGUCUCUUAUAC
RNAcentral lists this ribosomal RNA (301 nucleotides) under uncultured bacterium. RNAcentral describes it as "partial 16S ribosomal RNA". It matches the Rfam family "Bacterial small subunit ribosomal RNA", at positions 509 to 807 of the family's 1533-position model. The record is from RNAcentral.